Molecule: ribosomal RNA, 434 nt
Filed under: uncultured bacterium
Lineage: Bacteria
Description: bacterial SSU rRNA
Rfam family: Bacterial small subunit ribosomal RNA
Source: RNAcentral
AACGCGAAGAACCUUACCAAGGCUUGACAUACACCAGAUCGCAGCAGAGAUGUUGUUUCCUUUUGGUUGGUGUACAGGUGGUGCAUGGUUGUCGUCAGCUCGUGUCGUGAGAUGUUGGGUUAAGUCCCGCAACGAGCGCAACCCUCGUUCCAUGUUGCCAGCACGUAAUGGUGGGGACUCAUGGGAGACUGCCGGGGUCAACUCGGGGGAAAGUGAGGACGACGUCAAAUCAUCAUGCCCCUUAUGUCUUGGGCUUCACGCAUGCUACAAUGGCCGGUACAGAGGGUUGCGAAACCGUGAGGUGGAGCUAAUCCCAAAAAACCGGUCUCAGUUCGGAUUGGGGUCUGCAACUCGACCCCGUGAAGUCGGAGUCGCUAGUAAUCGCAGAUCAGCAACGCUGCGGUGAAUACGUUCCCGGGCCUUGUACACACCGA